AAGCGAGACCGCGAGGGGAGCGAAUCCCAAAAUAACGUCCCAGUUCGGAUUGUAGUCUGCAACCCGACUACAUGAAGCUGGAAUCGCUAGUAAUCGCGGAUCAGAAUGCCGCGGUGAAUACGUUCCCGGGUCUUGUACACACCGUCCGUCACACCAUGGGAAUCGGUAACACCCGAAGCCAGUAGCCUAACCGCAAGGAGGGCGCUGUCGAAGGUGGGAUUGAUGACUGGGGUGAAGUCGUAACAAGGUAAC
Molecule: ribosomal RNA, 252 nt
Filed under: uncultured bacterium
Lineage: Bacteria
Description: partial 16S ribosomal RNA
Rfam family: Bacterial small subunit ribosomal RNA
Source: RNAcentral